RNAcentral lists this ribosomal RNA (253 nucleotides) under uncultured bacterium. RNAcentral's name for it is "partial 16S ribosomal RNA". It matches the Rfam family "Bacterial small subunit ribosomal RNA", at positions 524 to 776 of the family's 1533-position model. The record is from RNAcentral.
UACAGAGGGUGCGAGCGUUAAUCGGAAUUACUGGGCGUAAAGCGUGCGUAGACGGUUAUUUAAGUCGGGUGUGAAAGCCCCGGGCUCAACCCGGGAAUUGCAUUCGAGACUGAAUAGCUAGGGUACGGUAGAGGGAAGUGGAAUUUCCGGUGUAGCGGUGAAAUUCGUAGAUAUUGGGUGGAACACCGGUGGCGAAAGCGGCUCUCUGGUCCGGACCUGACGCUGAGGCGCGAAAGCGUGGGGAGCAAACAGG